CUUUAUCAUAGAAAGACGGAAGCAUAGGGAUUAAAAUACUCUCUACACAGCUUCCUAUAACAUCAUGCUGUUACGAAUGGCCAACCCAGAACUUCCCCAAUCUUUAACAGGAGGUACUCAGUUUGAAACUUGGGUUAAGGAAGAUGGGCCUUGUGCGGUGUUUAUAAGUGUCUCGUGAUACUUAUUUAUAUUUGGUUGAACAUGUUCUGUGUAGUUUCGUCUUUGGAGAAUAUUAAUAUUUUUACCGGAUAAUUUCAGAGACUUCAAAGCUGAACUGUGCUUCAUUUUCUGUGGUCAUGGCUUCAAUUGGAGUACAAAGAGCAUUUAGUAUACCCCCAUCAAAUGGCAUAAGGUGAUUAAGGAUUUUUGCAUAGGAAAAUAUUUGAAACUGUAGCAACAGGUUUGAUUUCAAAACCGGAACUUUACUAUAUCAGGAUUAUUAAUUGUCAGAGCUCAUAUGAAAAUAUCUCUGGUAAAAAGCCUCAUCUGGACACAGCUGUCUGCUUGCAUUAAAUUCCCAAGUGACAAAAUCAAAUUUAACCUCUUUAGAUGGUCCAACAAUGAGCAGCCUUUUUGGAAUUUCUGAGUCAUAACUGAAUUGGAUAGCUUAGCUUGACUUGUUUAGUUAAGAGUCUUCAUUCGAUUUUUGUGAAUUGGAGGUAUGGCAACUAUAGAAACAGGUGGGAGAAUACAGCUGAGUAAUUGGAACAACUUGGAAAAGGAUGUGCAGACCCCAGGAGAACGAGAAGGAUGUACCUUGUGGAGGGUGUGGGCCCCACAACCUCUAUCUCAUUUUGGGCUCAUCAUUUCUCUAACCCCACCAAGGCUCUCAAGUAAUCGGACCUGCUUUUAAAGUUCUUUAUAGUUAUCGGAAUUCUAGUUAUCUGAAUAAGGGAUCUUAAGAGUAACGAUCCGAUAUCUUCCAACUAGAAUCCCUCUUUUUUUCGAUCCAGUUCCUCCACCACCGCGAACCCCAUCAUAUCAUUGUAGCAACUGAAUUUUUUUUGCAUAAACAAAAUAAAAAUCAACCUGAUUCUAAAUUGUGAAGCGACCCUUGGGCUUUCUACCUCCACGUGGCAUUGCUCUCUUUCGGAUCCCAGAAACAACUCUCAGAGAUCUUUUUGCCUUUUGGAAGAUGCAAGAGGGAAACAAUCAACCUGUUACGUCAGUUUGAUUACUCGAAGACACUUGGCCUCAUAUCAUAUCAUGAAUUGAGUCUGGUUUUGAUAUUAACUGUAAUGAAUCUGUGUGUUUCUCAACUCGAUUCAAAAUUUUAAGUUAUCAUGUAAAGUUACUCAAUUCAUAUUGUAUUCAAUCACUUUUUCAUUUGUUUCAAUUCAAUGUGGGACAAGAUUCCCU
Long non-coding RNA from Cornus florida, 1359 nucleotides. RefSeq lists it as uncharacterized. The record is from RefSeq and is a predicted model, not a curated record. Lineage: Eukaryota; Viridiplantae; Streptophyta; Magnoliopsida; Cornales; Cornaceae. The transcript has 3 exons.